GUACUACGAUGUAUAUUCCUAGCUCAUGCUAUGCAAGUUGUUUGCAGGACUGUUCGAUCAAGUGCUGCUCUUGCCCUUGGUAAACUAAGUGCACUCACAACUAGGAUUGGUAAGAUCUGUGUUAGGUUCUAAUACCUGGUUUUUGCCCCCGGAAAGUUCUUCAACCUGUGUUUCCUAUGUUCCUCCAGAAGCUGCAAAGGGAGAGGUAGCUAAAGAUGAGGUUGAGAUGGAUGGAUUUCAAAGUGAUGAUGAUGACGAGGAGUCUGAUAGUGAAAUGGCAGAUGAUGAUGAGGGAUGGAAAUGAAGCUAUGAUCCGAGGAUAAGCUGAAAGAUUUAUGUUCGUGAACCAGCACCCCCAUUUAUUUCAAUUUGCAAAAAUGAUGAAGAAGAUCGAAUCUAGUACAAGGGAAAUGUCAAUGCCAUGCAUGAAUUGUUCCAUGUCAAUGCCAUGCAUGAAUUGUUCCAUGCCACAUCAGCUAUGUCGACCAACAGCUACUGAAAAUAUCACAACCUUGGUGGUGGCUUCGUCUCUUCUCUCUAUGGAUCUGCGGCUAUGUCGACCAACGACUACUGAAAAUAUCAGUUGCAACCUUGGUGGUGGCUUCGUCUCUUCUGUCUAUGGAUUUGGAAGAAGUGACUCCUGACGGGGAAGCUAAUUUGGGAUGCUGUAAGAAAUUGUCCUCACUCCAUGGUUUGCUCUACUCUGUGAAUAUCAACUUCGUUUAUACUUUUGGUUUGCCUCAAUUAAGUUUCAUUGACAAAGCCAACGUAGUUUCACUGACUGCUGAGAUUAUUCAACGGGAGCAUGCACCCUUCAGCAACAAAAAAUAACUUCUCAGAAAAUAGCCCAAUGAACUGAUGCUAAUUGCUAAGAAGCACCAGACAGCUAAACAAUAGCAAGUAUGAUCUCAAACCCCUCUGCAUUGAAGUCAAAUUCUGAAUCACAAGUGAAAAGCAUUUAAUCCAGCUAGUGCAAGAAGGAACACAUGUAAAUUACAUCUGAAACUCCAAAUUUUGCUCAAUAAAAUCAAGCUAUAAGGAGGCAAAAACUUGAAGAGGGGAAAGCUAGACAGUUUUGCUUAUAUCCUUAGCAUCAAACCCCAAACUUUGCUCCAUAAAACAAGACCUGGGAAAUUUACCGGCGACACUUUCACUUCAACUGCUGAAACACGUACCGAAGACAGAAUGGGGAGGACCAGUUAAAAUACCUGGUUUUGCCCCCGGAAAGCUCUUCAACCUGUGCUUCCUAUGUUCCUCCAGGGUCUCUUGGAUCUGCUGAAUUAUAACAGAAAGCAGCUUUGGGCCGUGGAGAGUUAAUUGAAGUGAGAAGUGAGCAAGCAUUAAAGGAGUUUUUCAUUCCAAUCACAGGGGUCCCAUGGCAAGUUAAAAGUGCAAUUCUCGCUGUGUUGAAAUGACGGACAACGAGUUGGCUUAUUUGGAGUGCAUCCACUUGUUUGUGGAGAUACUGGAUCACUUUUUUAGUAAUGUCUGGGAGUUAGAUUUGGUUUUUAACUUUCACAAGGUAUAUAUAAUCUUAGAUGAAUUCAUUCUCGCUGGGGAGCUCCAAAAAACAAGCCAGAAGGCUAUCAUAGAGAGGUUGAAUGAAUUGUGGAGAAGUUGGAGUGAAGAUUGAUGAUCCAUGAUGGCCAACCUUCAUCCAUAUUCCAAAGUCUAUAUAGAGAGAACUCAGAGAAAACCUGAAAUUGAUGGGACAAAAACAUAGAAGAUAGUGACAUCGAGUCUGCACCUAAGCUCAUCGAAGUUCCAUUCCAAAACUGCAAAGUACAGGUCGAUCACUGGGUUGAGCCAUAUCUCAGAAUCUCAAUUGAAUGUCUGCAUCGAAGUGAAACACCAUACUUGAAGUGCCUCCUGAUCCAAGUGAUUGCUGAUGCUCUUUACUAUAACCCUUCAUUUACACUGAGCAUACUGCUUGGUGUUGCUACAGAGAUCUUCAAUCUUUGGUUCCAUAUGCUACAACAAACUAAAAAAAGUGAAGCUCGGGCUAAUUCUAAAAGGGAGCAUGAGAAGAAGGUUUGCUGCUUGGGUUUGACAUCAUUGCUCAGUCUUCCUGCUGAUCAAAUGCCAGCAGCAACCUUAGAGGGCAUUUUUAAGGCCAUUCUUGAC
Ipomoea nil (Japanese morning glory) is the source of this 2124-nucleotide long non-coding RNA. RefSeq lists it as uncharacterized. The record is from RefSeq and is a predicted model, not a curated record. NCBI's taxonomy places the organism in Eukaryota, Viridiplantae, Streptophyta, Magnoliopsida, Solanales, Convolvulaceae. The transcript is spliced from 17 exons.